CGUAGGGACCGAGCGUUGUCCGGAUUCAUUGGGCGUAAAGAGCUCGUAGGCGGCCACUCAAGUCGAAUGUGAAACCUCGAGGCUUAACCUCGAGCCUGCAUUCGAUACUGGGCGGCUAGAGUCUGGUAGGGGGAUCUGGAAUUCCUGGUGUAGCGGUGGAAUGCGCAGAUAUCAGGAGGAACACCGGUGGCGAAGGCGGGAUCCUGGGCCAGUACUGACGCUGAGGAGCGAAAGCGUGGGGAGCAAACAGGAUUAGAUACCCUGGUAGUCCACGCCGUAAACGAUGGGCGCUAGGUGUGGGAGGUCAUCGACUCCUUCCGUGCCGCAGCUAACGCAUCAAGCGCCCCGCCUGGGGAGUACAGCCGCAAGGCUA
This 373-nucleotide ribosomal RNA is filed under the name uncultured organism. Its description in RNAcentral is "bacterial SSU rRNA". It matches the Rfam family "Bacterial small subunit ribosomal RNA", at positions 526 to 896 of the family's 1533-position model. The record is from RNAcentral.